This is a non-coding RNA of Otolemur garnettii (small-eared galago), 290 nucleotides long. The record is from Rfam. NCBI's taxonomy places the organism in Eukaryota, Metazoa, Chordata, Mammalia, Primates, Galagidae.
GCCAGAUACGGUGGUAAACGCCUGCAGUCCCAACUACUUGGCAGGCUGAGACAGGAGGAUUGCUUGAGUCCAGGAGUUUUGGCUGUAGUGCACUAUGCUGAUUGGGUGUCUGCGUUAAGUUUGGCAUCAAUAUGGUGACCUCCCGGGAGCAGGGGGCCACCAGGUUGCCUAAGGAGGGGUGAACCAGUGCAGGUUGGAAACAGAGCAGGUCAAAACUCCCGUGCUGAUCAGUAGUGGGACUGAUAGCCACUGCACUCCAGCCUGGGCAAUGUAAUGAGACCCCAUCUCUA